This 406-nucleotide ribosomal RNA is filed under the name uncultured bacterium. Its description in RNAcentral is "partial 16S ribosomal RNA". It matches the Rfam family "Bacterial small subunit ribosomal RNA", at positions 28 to 526 of the family's 1533-position model. The record is from RNAcentral.
GAUGAACGCUGGCGGCGUGCCUAAUACAUGCAAGUCGAACGAGUGGCGGACGGGUGAGUAAUGUCUGGGAAACUGCCCGCUGGAGGGGGAUAACUACUGGAAACGGUAGCUAAUACCGCAUACCCUCGGAUGUGCCCAGAUGGGAUUAGCUAGUAGGUGGGGUAACGGCUCACCUAGGCGACGCUCCCUAGCUGGUCUGAGAGGAUGACCAGCCACACUGUAACUGAGACACGGUCCAGAGUCCUACGGUAGGCAGCAGUGGGGAAUAUUGCACAAUGGGCGCAAGCCUGAUGCAGCCAUGCCGCGUGUAUGAAGAAGGCCUUCGGGUUGUAAAGUACUUUCAGUGGGGAGGCGUUACCCGCAGAAGAAGCACCGGCUAACUCCGUGCCAGCAGCGGCGGUAAUAC